RNAcentral lists this ribosomal RNA (305 nucleotides) under uncultured bacterium. RNAcentral's name for it is "bacterial SSU rRNA". It matches the Rfam family "Bacterial small subunit ribosomal RNA", at positions 338 to 657 of the family's 1533-position model. The record is from RNAcentral.
CCUACGGGGGGCAGCAGUGGGGAAUAUUGGGCAAUGGAGGAAACUCUUACCCAGCAAUGCCGCGUGAGUGAAGAAGGUCUUCGGAUUGUAAAGCUCUUUGAUUGGGGAUGAAUAAAUGACGGUACCCAAAGAACAAGCCCCGGCUAACUACGUGCCAGCAGCCGCGGUAAUACGUAGGGGGCGAGCGUUGUCCGGAAUGACUGGGCGUAAAGGGUGUGUAGGCGGUUUAUUAAGUUAGAAGUGAAAUACCUAGGGCUUAACCCAGGUGCUGCUUCUAAAACUGAUAGACUUGAGUGCAGUAGAGG